Molecule: transfer RNA, 84 nt
Filed under: Acidobacteriota bacterium
Lineage: Bacteria; Pseudomonadati; Acidobacteriota
Also listed under: 1 other name
Description: Acidobacteria bacterium tRNA-Leu
Rfam family: tRNA
About the family: Transfer RNA (tRNA) molecules are approximately 80 nucleotides in length. Their secondary structure includes four short double-helical elements and three loops (D, anti-codon, and T loops).
Source: RNAcentral
GCCGGAGUGGCGGAACUGGUAGACGCGGGGGACUUAAAAUCCCCGGUCCCUCGGGGCGUGCGGGUUCGAAUCCCGCCUCCGGCU